UAUUGGACAAUGGGCGAAAGCCUGAUCCAGCAAUGCCGCGUGAGUGAUGAAGGCCUUAGGGUUGUAAAGCUCUUUUACCAGGGAUGAUAAUGACAGUACCUGGAGAAUAAGCUCCGGCUAACUCCGUGCCAGCAGCCGCGGUAAUACGGAGGGAGCUAGCGUUGUUCGGAAUUACUGGGCGUAAAGAGUACGUAGGCGGUGGUUCAAGUCAGAGGUAAAGCCUGAGCUCAACUCCAGACUGCCUUUAAACAGUCGCAGAUCAUGAGAGGUAGUGAAUUCCAGUGAAGGUAAAUUCGAAAAAUUCGAAGACACCAGUGGCAAGCACAACUGGCAUUUAGCGUGAUCAAAUCUU
RNAcentral lists this ribosomal RNA (352 nucleotides) under uncultured bacterium. RNAcentral describes it as "bacterial SSU rRNA". It matches the Rfam family "Bacterial small subunit ribosomal RNA", at positions 362 to 748 of the family's 1533-position model. The record is from RNAcentral.